RNAcentral lists this long non-coding RNA (305 nucleotides) under Phaseolus vulgaris (common bean). Its description in RNAcentral is "long non-coding RNA (PVUL_LNC002977)". The record is from RNAcentral. Lineage: Eukaryota; Viridiplantae; Streptophyta; Magnoliopsida; Fabales; Fabaceae.
UUUUCAUUUUUAGAUUUGAGUUCAUGCUUGUAUCUUCAUUCUAUACAAGUUCCUUUACACAAAUUCCAUUAUGUCUUUGCUAGUUCAUCUUACUGUUUUUCUUUCCUGAAUAGGAUACUCUGUUUUCUUACAAACGUGCUACUGUUUUCAAUUUACUGCAAUUAAUUGGCUCACUGGAAAUUUGUGAAAAUUUGGAUUUACAUACUUCAAAGUGUUACAAAAGCAUAGAAAAAAGAAUCACUCAAAAAUUCCAAGUACACAAAAAAUGAUAAAUAAAAUACGAAAAGUGUACAAUACUGCCGAAA